UGCUGACGACCGGCGCACGGGUGCGUAACGCGUAUAGAACCUACCUUAUAUUGGGGGAUAGCCCAGAGAAAUUUGGAUUAAUACCCCAUAGUAUGCUGAAUUGGCAUCAGUUUAGUAUUAAAGAUUUAUCGAUAUAAGAUGGCUAUGCGUUCUAUUAGCUAGUUGGUAAGGUAACGGCUCACCAAGGCGACGAUAGAUAGGGGUCCCGAGAGGGAGAUCCCCCACACUGGUACUGAGACACGGACCAGACUCCUACGGGAGGCAGCAGUGAGGAAUAUUGGACAAUGGAGGCAACUCUGAUCCAGCCAUGCCGCGUGCAGGAAGACUGCCCUAUGGGUUGUAAACUGCUUUUAUAGAGGAAGAAACCGCUCUACGUGUAGAGCUCUGACGGUACUCUACGAAUAAGGAUCGGCUAACUCCGUGCCAGCAGCCGCGGUAAUACGGAGGAUCCAAGCGUUAUCCGGAAUCAUUGGGUUUAAAGGGUCCGUAGGCGGGCUUAUAAGUCAGUGGUGAAAGUUUGCGGCUCAACCGUAAAAUUGCCAUUGAUACUGUAGGUCUUGAAUCAUUGUGAAGUGGUUAGAAUGUGUAGUGUAGCGGUGAAAUGCAUAGAUAUUACACAGAAUACCGAUUGCGAAGGCAGAUCACUAACAAUUGAUUGACGCUCAGGGACGAAAGCGUGGGUAGCGAACAGGAUUAGAUACCCUGGUAGUCCACGCCGUAAACGAUGGUUACUAGCUGUUUGGACUUCGGUCUGAGUGGCUAAGCGAAAGUGAUAAGUAACCCACCUGGGGAGUACGUUCGCAAGAAUGAAACUCAAAGGAAUUGACGGGGGCCCGCACAAGCGGUGGAGCAUGUGGUUUAAUUCGAUGAUACGCGAGGAACCUUACCAGG
RNAcentral lists this ribosomal RNA (891 nucleotides) under uncultured bacterium. Its description in RNAcentral is "bacterial SSU rRNA". It matches the Rfam family "Bacterial small subunit ribosomal RNA", at positions 86 to 978 of the family's 1533-position model. The record is from RNAcentral.